AACGAACGCUGGCGGCAGGCCUAACACAUGCAAGUCGAGCGCGCCCUUCGGGGUGAGCGGCGGACGGGUGCGUAACGCGUGGGAACGUGCCCUUUUCUACGGAAUAGCCUCGGGAAACUGAGAGUAAUACCGUAUACGCCCUUUGGGGGAAAGAUUUAUCGGAAAAGGAUCGGCCCGCGUUGGAUUAGGUAGUUGGUGGGGUAAUGGCCUACCAAGCCGACGAUCCAUAGCUGGUUUGAGAGGAUGAUCAGCCACACUGGGACUGAGACACGGCCUAGACUCCUACGGGAGGCAGCAGUGGGGAAUCUUAGACAAUGGGGGCAACCCUGAUCUAGCCAUGCCGCGUGAGUGAUGAAGGCCGUAGGGUUGUAAAGCUCUUUCAGCUGGGAAGAUAAUGACGGUACCAGCAGAAGAAGCCCCGGCUAACUCCGUG
This 433-nucleotide ribosomal RNA is filed under the name uncultured bacterium. Its description in RNAcentral is "partial 16S ribosomal RNA". It matches the Rfam family "Bacterial small subunit ribosomal RNA", at positions 29 to 507 of the family's 1533-position model. The record is from RNAcentral.